GGAUGACUUCACCAGGACCCUUGGCAACAGUGCUGGUGGAAAGUGGAAAGAAACAGUUACAUGAGCCAUAGAUGGCAGAAACAGUAGGUCCACUCGUUCCCCUUCCUACCUGCCCUCACAUGGUUUCUGGAUUCUCUUCCACAUAUUUUCAGAAUUCCAGGAUCAACACCUCCCUCCCUGUUCCUGUUCCCCCCAGAACAUUUUUGAGGCAGCAUUUCUACAGUGGGGAUGGCAUUCCCCAGAUGAUCCACUCAAGCUGCUCCACAGGUGUCCUUUGCUCCUUUCUUCUUGCCUCUUCCUACUAAUUGGCACUCCGAGGCCUGGAUGAAGACCUACAAUGAAGCCCACUUAUUUUAUAGAACUCACAUUUAGGCAGCAGGUAUAUGAAGCCCUGAAACUCCUUGGGAUCCCUAUGUUCAAAUGCCAAAGCAACUGUGACCAACUUUUGCCAUAUGGCAAAAAAAGACACUCUCUUGGCCUCCUUUUUCCACCAGCAAUGGAAAAGAAAAGAAAUAACAAUAAUAAAGAAAGAAGAGGUUGGUGUUUUCAUAA
This 552-nucleotide long non-coding RNA is filed under the name Homo sapiens (human). RNAcentral's name for it is "HSALNT0353169". Lineage: Eukaryota; Metazoa; Chordata; Mammalia; Primates; Hominidae. The record is from RNAcentral.